CCCUUAGAUGUUCUGGGCAGCACGCGCGCUACAAUGGUCUUCGCAAACGGAUGCAUUCUCGAAGGAGAAUGCCAAUCUUGGAAUCUAUGCCUUGGUCGGGACAGUUGCUUGCAAUUUUUCGACUCGAACCAGGAAUUCCUUGUAAUCGUGAUUCAUCACAUCACGAUGAAUACGUCCCUGCCCUUUGUACACACCGCCCGUCGCUCCUACCGAUCGAAGAGUUAGGUGAAUUGUUUUGAUCGAUAAGAUUUGACUAUGGUCAACUCUCGUUGUGAAAUUCUGUGAAUCGGACUGUUUAGAGGAAGGAAAAGUCGUAACA
This 319-nucleotide ribosomal RNA is filed under the name uncultured eukaryote. RNAcentral describes it as "partial 18S ribosomal RNA". It matches the Rfam family "Eukaryotic small subunit ribosomal RNA", at positions 1470 to 1796 of the family's 1831-position model. The record is from RNAcentral.